Molecule: ribosomal RNA, 253 nt
Filed under: uncultured bacterium
Lineage: Bacteria
Description: partial 16S ribosomal RNA
Rfam family: Bacterial small subunit ribosomal RNA
Source: RNAcentral
UACGUAGGGGGCUAGCGUUGUCCGGAAUCAUUGGGCGUAAAGAGCGUGUAGGCGGCCCGGUAAGUCCGCUGUGAAAGUCAAAGGCUCAACCUUUGAAUGUCAGUGGAUACUGCCGGGCUAGAGUCCGGAAGAGGCGAGUGGAACUCCUGGUGUAGCGGUGGAAUGCGCAGAUAUCAGGAGGAACACCCGUAGCGAAGGCGGCACUCUGGGCCGAUACUGACACUGAGGAGCGAAAGCGUGGGGAGCGAACAGG